This 253-nucleotide ribosomal RNA is filed under the name uncultured bacterium. RNAcentral describes it as "partial 16S ribosomal RNA". It matches the Rfam family "Bacterial small subunit ribosomal RNA", at positions 524 to 776 of the family's 1533-position model. The record is from RNAcentral.
UACGGAGGGUGCAGGCGUUAAUCGGAAUUACUGGGCGUAAAGCGUGCGCAGGCGGUUUUUUAAGUCAGAUGUGAAAUCCCCGGGCUUAAACUGGGAAAUGGGUUUGAAACUGGGAGGCUAGAGUGCGGCAGACGGGGGUGGAAUUCCACGUGUAGCAGUGAAAUGCGUAGAUAUGUGGAGGAACACCGAUGGCGAAGGCAGCCCCCUGGGCCUGCACUGACGCUCAUGCACGAAAGCGUGGGGAGCAAACAGG